CCGCGGCCGCAGAGUUUGAUCAUGGCUCAGAUUGAACGCUGGCGGCGUGCCUAACACAUGCAAGUCGAUCGGUAACGCGGGGGCAACCCUGGCGACGAGUGGCGGACGGGUGAGCAAUGCUUGGGAAUCUGCCCAUCAGCGGGGGACAACCCGGGGAAACUCGGGCUAAUACCGCAUACGCUCUACGGAGGAAAGCCGGGGACCGCAAGGCCUGGCACUGACGGAUGAGCCCAAGCCGGAUUAGCUAGUUGGCGGGGUAACGGCCCACCAAGGCGACGAUCCGAAGCUGGUCUGAGAGGACGAUCAGCCACACCGGAACUGAGACACGGUCCGGACUCCUACGGGAGGCAGCAGUGGGGAAUAUUGGACAAUGGGGGAAACCCUGAUCCAGCGACGCCGCGUGGGUGAAGAAGGCCUGCGGGUUGUAAAGCCCUUUCGGUAGGGACGAAAGCUUUCGACCUAACACGUCGGAAGGUUGACUUAACCUACAAAAGAAGCACCGGCUAACUCUGUGCCAGCAGCGCGCGGU
RNAcentral lists this ribosomal RNA (529 nucleotides) under uncultured Gammaproteobacteria bacterium. RNAcentral describes it as "bacterial SSU rRNA". It matches the Rfam family "Bacterial small subunit ribosomal RNA", at positions 1 to 521 of the family's 1533-position model. The record is from RNAcentral. Lineage: Bacteria; Pseudomonadati; Pseudomonadota; Gammaproteobacteria.